AAGGAUCAUUAAUAAUGCUCUCUGGCUUCGGUCAGCUGAGUUCAAUGAGUGCCUUCUCUUCGGAGUUGGCCAUCCACACACACCGUGAACUGUGGCUUCGGCCAUCACAAACUGUUAGUAAUGAAUGUAAUAUCAUAACAAAAACAAAACUUUUAACAACGGAUCUCUUGGCUCUCGCAUCGAUGAAGAACGCAGCGAAAUGCGAUAAGUAAUGUGAAUUGCAGAAUUCAGUGAAUCAUCGAAUCUUUGAACGCACCUUGCGCCCUUUGGUAUUCCGAAGGGCAUGCCUGUUUGAGUGUCAUGAAACCUCACCCCACUUGGGUUUUUGCCUGAGCGGUGGUGUAUUGGGUGUUGCCUUGCCAAAGGCUCGCCUUAAAAACAUAAGCACCUUGGAUGUAAUACGUUUCAUCCUUCUGGGUGGCUGAUAACCCCACAUAUUCAUGAUCUGGCCUCAAAUCAGGUAGGGCUACCCGCUGAACUUAA
RNAcentral lists this ribosomal RNA (483 nucleotides) under Vishniacozyma carnescens. RNAcentral describes it as "eukaryotic LSU rRNA". The stretch from base 148 to 301 matches the Rfam family "5.8S ribosomal RNA". The record is from RNAcentral. Lineage: Eukaryota; Fungi; Basidiomycota; Tremellomycetes; Tremellales; Bulleribasidiaceae.